CAUUGGUGAUAGUUUUCCAUUCAUGCAACACGCCUCACUGCAGAGCUUCCUCUGCCUACAAGUUUCUUUUUAAUAGAUGGAUCAGAUUUCUCAUGUCAAGGCUUAUAAUGCCAAGGACAACAUCCAAGGGCCUCCAGCCUUUCUAGCAAGUGUGAAUGAAGUAGCCAGAGACUUCUUAGUCAUGAUUUCAUAGAGACCUGUUUGGGCAUUUGUGACCUCAGUAAGAUAUCUUCCCAUGUUUUCCCCAGUUUUAGCCUUGUAAACGCCUGGAGUGGCCUAAAAUAACUCCUUACAUUCAAGUGGAUGUACUAUUAACGAUAUCAAAUGAUAAUUUUUAAAUAUUGAGCAUUCACCUGAACAUGUAUAGGGCUAAAACUGGGGAUAGGGACAGGAUAACCCUAUGAAUUUUACCCCUGGAUGUAACUUUGUUAUGUGCUUUCAAGUCAUUUUCUAUCUAUGACGACACUAUCAUAGAGGUUUGGGAGGCGGAGAUUUGUUCACUGAGAGUUUGCCUUUGCCUUUUUUUGAGGCUGAGAGACUGUGAUUCAGUAGGUUUCCAUGGCCAGACAGGGAUUUGAACCCUGAAAACCACUACACCAACUUAGAUAUUCAUAUACUUAACACAAAGAUCUACAGAUGGGUGCUGUGAUUUUUCCAGGCUGUAUGGCCAUGUUCCAGAAGCAUUCUCUCCGGAUGUUUCACACACAUCUACGGCAGAGGUUGUGAGGUAUAUUGGAAACUAGGUCAAUGAGGUGGGAGAAAGAAUUCUUGUCUGUUGGGCAAGUGUGAAUGUUGCAAUUAAUCACCUUGAUUAGCAUUGAAAAGCCUGUUAGCUGGCCCUGAUUGUUUCCAGUCUGGAAUUCCCCUGUUUUCAGAGUGUUGUUCUUUGUUUAUUGCUCUCAGAGGAUGCCUGGCAUAGAUGUGGGUGAAAUGUCAGGAGAGAAUGCUUUUGGAAUAUGGCCAUAGAGCCUGGAAAACUCACCGCAAUCCAGUGAUUCUGACCAUGAAAGCCUUCAACAACACAUCUGGAGAUAGUUUUGUUAAUUGCAUCUGGAUGGACAUGGUUAUAACAUUUCUAUGAGUUGGAACUCAGCCGUAGCAAUGUUCAUGGGGACUUUGAUGAAUGCAUUGAGCUGAAUGAAGUUACAGAGUCCCUGGAAGGUCUUUGAACACAAGAUGUGAAGAUUUAACUUUUGUCCAGAUCUUUAGAGACAUUGAGCGCAUGGCAUGCUCACUUCCAGCUUUAGCCUUAUCUGUGUUCAGGCAAGAACUUGGAAAGGUUUAAAAUAACACCUCAGUGUCUAGUGUGUGUCACCGGCUAUGCAAAAUUGUCAAGUUGACACUUAUCAAGACUGCAAGUGAAGAAAGUCUGAUCGUAUCCACCAGAUUUACUGGCCAAUGUGAUUUACCUCUGCCAAGUAAAGAGGGUUUGCUAUUCCAUAUGUUGAUAAAAUAUGCAUUGCCAUUAAGAAGAACAGUUGCAUCCGUUGCUUAUUUUUGGAACCUUGCAAAAGCCCUUGGCAUGGUUGUAUGUGUUUGAUUGAUACAGACACUCUGAACAGCACAACUGCCUAGAUAACAAAAGGGGAUGUGUAGUUAUCUCCACAGGGUGGCUUUGGUGAAGCAAGGAAAAAACAUCUAUAGCUAACUAAGAAUUAUGUAGAGCCUGUGAGCUGGUCGUAGGAUAGCAUUUGCUAUCUGUUCUCUUGGAUUUUAGCUGCAAUCUCCACAUUAGUAAAGAUGUUGUUCUUCAUUGCGUGGAGAGGAUCCACUUCUAGGGCAAGCUCUCCUGUUCAGACUUGUCCCUCUCCAGGCUCUGUUCUCAAUCUCAUAGUAUUCUGGCUGGCAUCCUGCUGGUGGCAUAUUU
Anolis carolinensis (green anole) is the source of this 1867-nucleotide long non-coding RNA. RefSeq lists it as uncharacterized. The record is from RefSeq and is a predicted model, not a curated record. The transcript has 3 exons. NCBI's taxonomy places the organism in Eukaryota, Metazoa, Chordata, Lepidosauria, Squamata, Anolidae.